Molecule: ribosomal RNA, 61 nt
Filed under: Ostreopsis lenticularis
Lineage: Eukaryota; Dinophyceae; Peridiniales; Ostreopsidaceae
Description: partial large subunit ribosomal RNA
Source: RNAcentral
UUGAGCAAUGUCUUAGCACCYGCUGAAUUUAAGCAUAUCAGUAAGCAGAGGAACUGCAACA